This 486-nucleotide ribosomal RNA is filed under the name uncultured bacterium. RNAcentral's name for it is "partial 16S ribosomal RNA". It matches the Rfam family "Bacterial small subunit ribosomal RNA", at positions 30 to 507 of the family's 1533-position model. The record is from RNAcentral.
AUUGAACGCUGGCGGCAUGCCUUACACAUGCAAGUCGAACGGCAGCACGGGUGCUUGCACCUGGUGGCGAGUGGCGAACGGGUGAGUAAUACAUCGGAACAUGUCCUGUAGUGGGGGAUAGCCCGGCGAAAGCCGGAUUAAUACCGCAUACGAUCCACGGAUGAAAGCGGGGGACCUUCGGGCCUCGCGCUAUAGGGUUGGCCGAUGGCUGAUUAGCUAGUUGGUGGGGUAAAGGCCUACCAAGGCGACGAUCAGUAGCUGGUCUGAGAGGACGACCAGCCACACUGGGACUGAGACACGGCCCAGACUCCUACGGGAGGCAGCAGUGGGGAAUUUUGGACAAUGGGCGAAAGCCUGAUCCAGCAAUGCCGCGUGUGUGAAGAAGGCCUUCGGGCUGUAAAGCACUUUUGUCCGGAAAGAAAUCCUUGACUCUAAUACAGUCGGGGGAUGACGGUACCGGAAGAAUAAGCACCGGCUAACUACGUG